Molecule: RNA transcript, 3374 nt
Organism: Cucurbita maxima (winter squash)
Lineage: Eukaryota; Viridiplantae; Streptophyta; Magnoliopsida; Cucurbitales; Cucurbitaceae
Exons: 4
Source: RefSeq, a predicted model, not a curated record
UAUCAUGAGGGCAACUACAAAAUGGAAACAAUGUGUUUUGAAAAGGCUGAAGAUGCUUAUUGGGAAAGAAGAUCCAAGGCCUCUGGUCUUAGAGCUUUUGCAGAACAGAUCCACAAUGCAAAGCCUGUGGAAGCAAAGGCAAUCCUUAGAGAAGCAGCUGAAAUAUUUGAAGCAAUUGGGAAGGCUGAUACUGCUGCCCAAUGCUUUUUCGAUAUAGGGGAGUUUGAAAGGGGAGGGGCAAUUUUUGAGGAGAAAUGUGGGCAGCUAGAGAGCAGGAGAGUGUUUUCUUCUAGCAAAGUGCUACAACCGUGCUGCUGAUUUAUUUGCCAGGGCAAAUUGUUGUUCUGCGUGCUUGAAUACUUGCUCUAAAGGAAAAUUGUUUGACGUUGGUUUGCAUUACAUUUUAUCCUGGAAACAAGAUGCCGGACUCGAACACCAUGCAUCCAGAAGUAAGGAAAUAGAGGACCUUGAACAAGAAUUCGUACAAAAAUGUGCUCUUCAUUUUCACAACUGCGGGGACAGUAGAUCCAUGAUGAAAUCUGUUAAAAGUUUUCGAUCCGUAGAUUUGAUGCGUAACUUCUUGAAGUCCUUGAAUUGCCUCGAUGAGCUUCUUGUGUUGGAAGAAGAGCUGGGAAAUUUUUUGGAAGCUGUAAAGAUUGCAGAGUCAAAAGCUGAUCUGGUUCAUGUGGCUGAUCUUCAUGGCAAGGCAGGAAAUUUUAGUGAGGCAUCCACGCUUCUUGUACGCUACGUCCUUGCCAACUCUCUUUGGUCACCAGGAAGCAAAGGAUGGCCCUUGAAAAAUUUUGAAGGAAAGAAGGAUCUUUUGAAAAAGGCCAGGUUUUUAGCGGAAAAUGACUCUAACGAAUUAUACGACUGCAUUUGUAUAGAGGCUGAUAUUUUGUCUGAUGAAAAUGGAAACAUGGGAGCUCUGACAGGAUGUCUAACUGCUUCUAGGAACCACGACAGUGUUCGUGGAGAAAUGAUAUGUGUUAGAAAGAUUCUGGAUGCCCAUAUGCAUUUGAACAAAUCAAAAUACACUUGGGAAGGUGAAUUGGUUUCUGAUCUGACCAAGCAUCCAGAAGAAAUGGUUUCAAAGAAUCAGGUGUCCGUUGAAACUUUGGUUUACUUUUGGCAUUGCUGGAAGGAUAGAAUUUUGAAUGUUCUCGAGAGUCUUAGGUGUGUUGGUGUGAAUGAUGCGGACCCUUACGGCGAGUUCUGUUUAAAUUUCUUUGGUGUUUGGAGACUGAACAACAGACACGUAUUGCUCAACUCUGAUGCUGAUUGGGCCAAAAAAGUUGAUGAAAGGUUCGUUCAUAGGAACGGUAAAUCGGUGUCCAUUGAUGUUACCCAAUUUUCAUCAUCUGCCAGGAACUAUUGGAGCUUAGAACUGUUUUCUUCUGGACUCGAGGUUUUAGAAAAUCUAGAUCACCUUUAUAAAUUCUCCAACCGUAUCGGUUUCUUGACAUUCAGCCGGUGUAGGCUUCUCACUCACAUGUUUGAGGUUGCAAAACUCCUUCUAGAUAGCCCAUAUUUGGAACAUAGAUACCAUGAUAAACAGAAGUUAGAGAGAUUCUGUAAGUGGCAAUAUCGGAAAUCCAAAGUCAUUUAUUUCCACCAGAUUGUGUAGUUUCUUUGAAGGAGAGUGUGAUAUCUCUACGAGUUACUGGGGUUUAUCGUAAUAUGAUGAAUGAAAUUGUGGCCGAGGAGGUUAGCUUACAGAAUCAACUAACUUAUGGCCGAGUUGGAAGGGUUGCAAUGCUUAUUCUUGGAUCUGGCAAACUCGAUAAGAAGUUGUGUGAACAAAUAGCAGAAUGGUCAAAGGAGAAUCCUCCUUGGAGUGCAUUCAUUCAAGAGCUUUGCAACAGUAGGAGUGCAGAGAAUGAAGCAAGGAGGAACCCCGCAAAAGAGAUAUCUCGUGUGGAGGUUUCAUGAAGCUCUGAGGGACACGUACAAUACGAACUGGGUCCACAUGCGGGAUUAUAUUUCGCCUUUCUGUUUCAUGUACCUGGUCGAAAGGCUUCUGAUUAUGGUAUCAUUCAUGAAAGGGGGAUACCUUAUCACUACAAAUUCCUCUUUUGUUGAAUGGCUCAUCUUCCAUGAAGGAAAUUCCGAUAUAAUUUCCAUGUUGGGAGCUCAAACACAACAUUCUUUUCAACCGACGCUUUUGUUUUUGGCUCAAAUUCAUCAGGAACUUCUUUUCGACAGGAGAGCAACAAUGGAGUGGUUGAGGAAGACACAUACAAACUUGAACUGCUAUCCGAUACUGGUAAGGAGGUUGGUGGUUGUCACAUGUUUGCUUCAUCUGAACUUUGGCAUUUGCUUCGAUGUACUCCGCAAUCUGCUUGGUCGCAACUUUUCAUCUGAACUUUGGCAUUUACCCACGGAAUUUUGCAAUGGGCUUAAGGGAAACAAAAGUUUUUAUGUACCAACUGAUAACUUAAAUAUGAUUGCCGGAUUCGUCAAGGGAAUUGGAAACCCAAUGGUUAUUGUGAGUUUGGAUGGAAAUUUCCCACAACUCACUUAGAGAGAUGCAACUACUAUCAACUUGAAUGUCAGUCGUUGUAUGGAUGAUGUACUGAAGGCUUUAUUCCCAAAGGAAGUUGAAAGUUCGCAAGGUCGAGCCGAAGCUCCCAAAGGGCAAGAUGUUGGUAUAACAACCAGCAAAAUGGUAGCAUCGAAAGUGGGAUGCAUGGCUAUUCCAUCCUCUUCUAGCUUGGCUUUGGAUGAAAACAAGAGGAUGAAAUCUAAUAAUAGUGAAAAUGAUGGAUAUUCACCCAAGUCUGUUGGUUUUUGGGAAAUGUUUGAAGCAUUGAGAAUGUUGGAGAAUGAAAUGGAGGAGAAGAGCAAUCUGUCAAACGCCUUUCAAAUCAAGAUGGAUGUGGAGAGAUGGGUUACGCAUUUAAGUGCCGCAAGAAGCAAAGCGGAUGAGGAGAUUCGUUUUGAAGUAGUGGAUGGGUUGGUUAUGGAAUUAAAUUUACUAUCUACUGCUUUAAGCAUGAGCGAUCCCAUGAAAAUCUAUCCCAAGUGGUAUCAAUAUCAAAGAGCGUAUAUUCGAGGAGGAUGGAGUUGGAGCCUAUGUUGAGCAAACUACUACUACUACUACACGAUGAUCUUGACGUGGAAGUGGAUCAGAGGUGGAUAGAUGAUCAGAUUGUAAAGGAGGAAAAGCUGAGGCUGUUUUGGAUAAGAAAGGGAAAGGGAAAGGGAAAGGGAGUGGGAAUGGGAAGGGGAAAGGGAAAGGGAAGUCAAAGAACAACAAGAGGGGAAAGGGUCGAAGGAGUUAAAUGAUAAUGCAUGGCUAUUCCUAACGUGGGGGAAGUAUUUAGUUGAGUUGCUGUGAUAACUGAUCUAAUUAACUUAUUGAAUAUAUUCAA